This 301-nucleotide ribosomal RNA is filed under the name uncultured bacterium. RNAcentral describes it as "partial 16S ribosomal RNA". It matches the Rfam family "Bacterial small subunit ribosomal RNA", at positions 509 to 807 of the family's 1533-position model. The record is from RNAcentral.
CAGUAGCCGCGGGAACACAGAGGGUGCAAGCGUUAAUCGGAAUUACUGGGCGUAAAGCGCGCGUAGGUGGUUUGUUAAGUUGGAUGUGAAAUCCCCGGGCUCAACCUGGGAACUGCAUCCAAAACUGGCAAGCUAGAGUAUGGUAGAGGGUGGUGGAAUUUCCUGUGUAGCGGUGAAAUGCGUAGAUAUAGGAAGGAACACCAGUGGCGAAGGCGACCACCUGGACUGAUACUGACACUGAGGUGCGAAAGCGUGGGGAGCAAACAGGAUUAGAUACCCCUGUAGUCCCUGUCUCUUAUAC